RNAcentral lists this ribosomal RNA (253 nucleotides) under uncultured bacterium. Its description in RNAcentral is "partial 16S ribosomal RNA". It matches the Rfam family "Bacterial small subunit ribosomal RNA", at positions 524 to 776 of the family's 1533-position model. The record is from RNAcentral.
GACAGAGGGUGCAAACGUUGCUCGGAAUCACUGGGCGUAAAGGGCGUGUAGGCGGGAAGGAAAGUCAGAUGUGAAAUCCCCGGGCUCAACCUGGGAACUGCAUCCGAGACUGCAUUGCUAGAGUAUGGGAGAGGGAAGCGGAAUUUCUGGUGUAGCAGUGAAAUGCGUAGAUAUCAGAAGGAACAUCAGUGGCGAAGGCGGCUUCCUGGACCAAUACUGACGAUCAGGUGCGAAAGCGUGGGGAGCAAACAGG